This is a long non-coding RNA of Cryptotermes secundus, 797 nucleotides long. RefSeq lists it as uncharacterized. The record is from RefSeq and is a predicted model, not a curated record. NCBI's taxonomy places the organism in Eukaryota, Metazoa, Arthropoda, Insecta, Blattodea, Kalotermitidae. The transcript has 3 exons.
CAUGAAACAAAAACAUAAGCAAAACCACAAAGACCGUCACAUUCUUGACGUUCCUGACAAUAUUACAACAUAGUCACGCCCGGUCACGCCUCUGUGCUAAACCGCGAGUGCUAUUGUUCUGCCACCUAUUGGAAGUAACUUUAAUUAUCAAUUUCCAGUGGUACCAAUAGCAACCUCAACGAACGGGGAUGAAUUUACCUUAAAAGAUUAAGUAGCGGGAAGGGAUUCAGAGAUUGUCACCUUCUGGGUCCUGACACCGUAGAUGAUUGUAAAGAAAUUCUCUCCUUUCCUGACGCGGUAAUUACAGUUAGCGGGUGUUUCAUUUCAAAUUUAUUCACGGAGCGUCAUUAAGUGAAACGAUGACGUAGUUUUCAUGUCUACCGAAGUUAUUUGUGGGCACAGGAACUAGAACGACCGCAGAAAAUUAUGUGUGACGCUCAUUAAGAGAGAAGAUAGAAUAAUAACAAACUUCAAACUGCUUCUAAGGGAUCUUGGGACAUGUAGCACUGGGAAGUGAGGAGACAUGACAGUCUGCGCAGUAGUACUGUAUCGGCCUUCACUAAGGACCCAGAAUAAGCUAUAAUGACCAAGUCAACCCUGGGAAUCGAUCCAAGGUCCAUAGAGCUAGCUAAUCCAGAUGGAAGGUUGUGCAACACCAUCUAACAACCUGUCAUCCCUUGGGAAGCCGAUUCAGCUGGUCGUGUCCUUGAGGUCAGCAUGGGGUGCAGUGCCCAUGCAUUCAACAUCUUUCUGCCUCCUCCAGUGCAACUGCUAUUUUCUCAUUUGAAAGCAACACG